This 830-nucleotide long non-coding RNA is filed under the name Homo sapiens (human). RNAcentral's name for it is "HSALNT0074645". The record is from RNAcentral. Lineage: Eukaryota; Metazoa; Chordata; Mammalia; Primates; Hominidae.
CUUAGAUGGAUUCCCAAAGAAGUAGGUGCAUUGAGAAGAGUACACCAGGAAUUGAGCUAUAGGAAUAACAGAGACCAAACUAGCAAUUUUACAUCUGUUCAAAACUAUGACCUCAUCAAACUAAUUUCUCAGCUAGCUUUUUUCUUCUUCCAUUCUUGUAUCCAUGUCUUGCAGCUUCCUCUGGGAAUCUUCUUCCUCUCCCUGUAGUAUAUGAUGUCUAAAAAUCCUCCCUGGCUUGUUGGGAACAAACUUCCCAUACACCAGAGUGACAUAUGCCCUGAGACUCUACACGAUGGCUGAAGAGACACCUAACUCACAGGACUAAGGAAAAUGAAACAAAAUCUUCAGACUUGCUUCCAAAGGAGAAGUUUGAAAUGGAAGGGAGAAAGAGAGGAAGGGAGGGACGGCAAGAAGGAAAGAAGAGAGGAAGGAAGAAAGCAAUGGCAUGGCCAUGUUUCUGUGUUGUUUUUUCCUACUACAAAAUAUUAAGAUAUUGGAUAAUAAAGGAGCCAAAUAGUGUCACAUGGCUCACGUGUGUAUCAACAAGGCCCAUGUGUGUAUCAACAUAAGGCUAAGAACACAUGACAAGGCAUGGAUGGCCAAGGAGUCAGGAUUUUGAAAUGAGUGCAAGGACUUGUUUACAUGAAAAUGUUCAAAGGUAAAAUCAAUGUAUCAGGUUAAAGGGUUGAGUCUGAAGAAUGAGCGCAUGAAAAAAUGUGAUACUUUCUCUUUUUUGUCAUUGCUUUCUUUCCCCUCAUCCGUGGCGGGGAGAGGAUCUUUGGUAAGACAGAAUAAAGACGGCAUUUUAGUGAGGAUGGGGGAAGCCUGAG